Molecule: non-coding RNA, 327 nt
Organism: Alexandromys fortis (reed vole)
Lineage: Eukaryota; Metazoa; Chordata; Mammalia; Rodentia; Cricetidae
Source: the annotation of a RefSeq genome assembly
AUGGACAUGAGGGACCAUGCUCAGCUCGUUUGGUUCCUAUUUCUCUGCCUUUCAGGUUCCAGAGGUGACAUCCAGGUGACACAGUCUCCAUCCUCCCUGUCAGCAUCUCUAGGAGACAGAGUCACCAUCACUUGCAGAACAAGUCAGGAUAUUAGCAGAUAUUUACAAUGGUUCCAGCAGAAACCAGGGCAAGCUCCUAAGCUCCUGAUCUAUCAGGCAUCCAACUUGGAAGAUGGGGUCCCAUCAAGGUUCAGUGGCAGUGGGUCUGGGACAGAUUAUUCUCUCACCAUCAGCAGCCUGGAGUCUGAAGAUGUUGCAAAUUAUUAA